Molecule: long non-coding RNA, 4151 nt
Organism: Bombus pyrosoma
Lineage: Eukaryota; Metazoa; Arthropoda; Insecta; Hymenoptera; Apidae
Exons: 2
Source: RefSeq, a predicted model, not a curated record
GCUAAUAAAUAUCUUCUCUAUUGCAUAACAAUAAUGCCUAACCCAAAUGAAGAUUCGUUUCACGCCCCUAACCCUAAUCAUAAUGUGAACCCGACAUAUAUAUAUGAUUGAAAUUAAAGUAAUCUAUGAGUAUUGUUAUUCGUUGGACAGUUAUUAAUAAUUGAAAUACAUAGUUAAGAGGGCGUUGUACGUUUUUGAGUUCUGGGUGUAUUUUUUGGUCGAAGAUUGUAUUUGUAGACGGUGGGAUGUUCUCUGGUUGAUGUUGAUCCAUGGCAGGUUCUGAAGAAACUCGAAUUUCUGCGCGUCUCUCGCAUAUAACCAGCUCUGUGGAAUACUCCUGAUGUUCCGUGUGGUCACUUGAGUCGAAGGUACAGUUUACAAAAUUUCUUAUUACAGGUGGUACGAUUUCCCCUGUGUUAGGACUUCUGGUGAAGAAGCAGAGUCGUUUCAGCAGUCUCCAACAUCCCAACUAAUGGCAGCAAUUUCUGCAAUUGAUUAAAAAUUAAAUAGCACCAAUUACGCAUAGGACCAUAGUGUAGCAACUCGAAUGAACAAUGAACGGCUCCGUUAAUCGUCGAAUUAGGAUCUCGUCGAAUUCCUUGAGCUUCUUCUUAUCACACUUUAAAUUGUUUAGAUCAAUAUUGGCAAGUUUUAUGGGUUUUAAAGGCGUUGGCACGUCUUGAUUGACAUAGUCAGAUGCGAGGAUCCAUUCAACGCAUCAAGAGGAAACUUCAACGGGACCUCUACGGAUUCUACAGCGAAGGACCACGGUCAUCUCCUUGAUCAAAAGAAGGAUCUACGUAGAAUCUCGGUAAGCUGGCUUUUGUACAUUAUCGAAACAGUAGACCUGAAAUACAUUUUGAAAAUCGUGACUCUCUUUCUGCUGAAAGUAUCGUAUCUAUGAACACGAAUCCAACUGACAAGAGUACGGCAAAGCAAAACGAACUAUUUGCUAUUAUUCUCGAACAACUCCAAAGUCUAACUCACGAGUUUAGAAACUUUAGUUCACGAGUUUAUUGUCUUUUGUUUUCUUGACUAUGAUUCUAAUUUCUUGUGCUGUUGUAUUAGGUAUGGUGUAGUGCUUGUUAGUUGGGGUACUAGCAUAUUGCGCAUCUUCGUCGGAAUGAUAUUUGCUUUUACUGUUGUUUUCUUUUCCAGCAGUGUUGUUCUAUAAUUUGAUUAGGAUAUCUAUUAUUUGGGCAUUUAUGUAGAUCGGUAGUUAUUUAACCAUAUAAGUUGUGACAUUUUCUUUUGGGUCCAUAUCUAUUUCUUCUAUUAGUAAACCGAAUGAAUUUCGAAGUGGGAUGUCUUGUAGCCAUUGUUAUUUUUCUGUAUCUGAAGAUUUGAUGGCACUUGUGCCUGGUAUUAUUUUACGCUUUUUGUACGCUGCUGCCAUCUUCCAGUGUUCAUCGUUCCUAUUUCUUUUGUAGAUGAGCUUCGUUUCUUGGUUGUUUUCUACUUAACGUAUUUAUAGCUUUAUUUAUGUAAUAUAUUUCACCUUUGUUUGUUAUUUUGAUUGGUGAUAUUUGCUAUUGCAUUUUGGUGCUUUACCAUUUGGCAGUGUUUGUUGUCUUUUUGUUCACCUAAAUUCGCUGCUUGUCGUACUUUCAUCGAAAUACAGUUUCUCGUGUCUGUCUAGCUCGGCUGGUCAGGCAGAACUGACAUUACCAUAUAGAAUAGAAACCAUUGGAAAUCCUAAUUUCUAACAUUUCUGAAUAAAGAAUUUCUAUAAUUCAUUCAUCCACGCGUUUUCUUUCUCUAUUUCGAGUUAUUAUUCGCAGCCUAUCAACUACUGAAAUUACUAUAAAAGUGAAAUUUAGGUUUUAUUAUAACAAAAUGCGAAGAAAGUAAAUAAACAAAAAGCUAUUGUAUAUAAAGAAUAUAUUAAAAUCAUUGUAUCAUUCUACUGAUCCAUUGUCGUUUGGAAAGAAAGAUUUUCUUUUUUCUCUAAAAAGAAUAGAAUAAACAAUUAAUUUUUCUUUCUAAGGCAACUAAGAUUAAUUAUUGCGCGAUUUUACUCGGACAGAAAAGUAUGAAUAUUUUCGUAGAACCGUACAAUGAAAUAAGCUCUUGCAGCAUAGAAUCACAGCGAGUAUAUCUCAUUUGUGGUAGAACUAAAUAGGUUUUCUUAUAUGAUAGCGUGGAACACCUUCAGCUUUUGGUAGCUGGGAGCAGCACUAAUCUGAGAAUAACCUUAUAAAUGUGAGCACUCGUUCCGUCUUCGGUAAUACUAUUCCCUAAUUAAUUGAAAGAUACAUAUAUAAACUGCCUGCGCCUUAAUAUAAAGACGUGAUGUCGGUCUAAUGAGUCUAACUAUUGACUAAUGAAAAUGAUACAAAACAAGUCACACAUACCUACGACAUUGUUACUAUUGGUGACACUACCUUUAAGUUAGUGAGGAAAUUAUCCUGUAUGUUAUCAAUUAUAUUUUUAUUUUCAAAAUAGUAUUUUAUUAGUAUUUUAUUCAUAAUAGUAUUUUAUAGAAGAUUCUUUUAUAAAAAACUUUUUAUAUUAUACAUUUAUUUAGGUAACAUAAUACAGAAAGAUAUAUUUACCAUAAAUUUUAUUUUUGACAAAUUUUAGUAUUAACGAUAUUGGCUGACAAUUAAUGAUAAAAUGCAAGACUCAUAUUUCAACUAUUUAACAUCUAAUAAUUUGUUGCCAUAAAAUACUUUAAUAAUGAAAGUUUCGAGAGUAUAUAAAUACUACUUAUGCCUAACAUAAACUACUUGAAAAUAUAAAUACAUAAAGUAAAAAUUGAUCUUUUGUUUUUAAAUAUGACAUUAAUUUGUAAUAUUAACAUUAUGAGAUACAUUAUAAAUAACAUUUAUAGAUAUGUAACUAAGGAGUAAAGCAGUUUAUAAGUAAUAAAAACAUAAUUGUUUUAUUUUCCUGGAACUAACUUUUUGUUUUAUUAUCUAACAAUUGAAUGAAAUAUUACUAAUAUAUAAGUCAUUUAUAGUUUCAUUUGAAGUUUCGUUUAUUUUACGUUUUCUGUAUUCAUUUUAAUGCCAUAAGAGUGAUACAAAAUGUAAAAGACAAGAUAAUGAAUUAUUAGAGACAAAAAAUUUAAUUAUUAAAUGCUUAAGACUAUUGUGGUUAGAUUUCAAUAAUUUGCCACAUUUAAAAUCUAUGUCAGUAAAAAAUCCUAUCACAAAUUGUGGCUUUGAAAUAUUCUUAUUCUUAGUUUAUAAUACUAUAUAUCUUAAAUUAGUUUUACAUGUAAUUAUACUUUCACAGCUAAUAUUUUUUCUGUUGAUUUUCAAAAAUGUUCGCUCAAAGUUUUCAAAGAUUGUUACUAACCUUUUGUGCUCUUAAUUGUAUUUAUUCACAACAUGUAAUAUAUACAUAAUAUUCUUGAAAUACCAUCUAAGAAUUUUGUACAAAAACAUUAUCUAAUUUUUAAAUUAAGUAUGACCUACAUACAUAUACUGAAGGCAAUUGUUCCUUUUUAAGAUUCUUUUAAUUGCAAUUUAUUAAAUAUCAAUAGCCAAUUAACAUAUAACAAGAUUAAUAAUUAAUUAUUAACAUUGAAAUAACAUAUCCACUGAAAAAAAUGUGUGAUAAGAGAUGUAAAGACCACAAUUUGAUCACAAAAGGUUAAAUCAUUUAAUGCAAAUACACAGUUACGUUUCUGUUUCUUAACGAAGAUAUUCGAAACUCAUUUAAUAAAAAAUUUCUUAUUUACAUUCAUUCAUAUGCUUCUUAGAUACAUAAAUACAAUCUCGCGACAAAACAUUAAAUAGUAAUUUAAAUUUUGCAUAAUUUUCAGCAUUAAAAUUUAUUAAACAUUUUGAUCAUCCUAAAUAAUUUCAUUCAUCUUUUAUAAAUUCACCAUUUUUAAAAUAAUUUUUUAACUUUAUAUUUAUACUCACAUAUAAUUAAUUUCUUUGUGUUUUUAACGUUUUGCAAGUGUAUGCAUAUAUUUAUAAUAUUCUAUUCAUAAUAUACGAAUUAUAAAGGACAUUAUAUCACAUUAAUGUUACUACCAUAUGACUUGUUCAUUUUCUUUUUACGGCACUCUCUCUCUCUCUCUCUCACGUAUUUCAUAUAAUAGCAAUAACUGAUAAAUUUGAGAACGAAAUUCCUCGUUUGUUUAUAAAAUGUAUGAUACAAGUAGAAAAUAUAUAUGUGUGUGUGUGUAUGUGUGU